RNAcentral lists this ribosomal RNA (468 nucleotides) under uncultured bacterium. Its description in RNAcentral is "partial 16S ribosomal RNA". It matches the Rfam family "Bacterial small subunit ribosomal RNA", at positions 28 to 507 of the family's 1533-position model. The record is from RNAcentral.
GACGAACGCUGGCGGCGUGCUUAACACAUGCAAGUCGAACGGAAAGGCCCUGCUUUUGUGGGGUGCUCGAGUGGCGAACGGGUGAGUAACACGUGAGUAACCUGCCCUUGACUUUGGGAUAACUUCAGGAAACUGGGGCUAAUAUCGGAUAGGAGCUCUUGCUGCAUGGUGGGGGUUGGAAAGUUUCGACGGUUGGGGAUGGACUCGCGGCUUAUCAGCUUGUUGGUGGGGUAGUGGCUUACCAAGGCUUUGACGGGUAGCCGGCCUGAGAGGGUGACCGGCCACAUUGGGACUGAGAUACGGCGCAGUCUCCUACGGGAGGCAGCAGUGGGGAGUAUUGCGCAAUGGGCGGAAGCCUGAUGCAGCAACGCCGCGUGCGGGAUGACGGCCUUCGGGUUGUAAACCGCUUUCGCCUGAGACGAAGCGUGAGUGACGGUAAUGGGUAAAGAAGCACCGGCUAACUACGUG